CAGCAGCCGCGGGAAUACCGAGGGUGCGAGCGUUAAUCGGAUUUACUGGGCGUAAAGCGUGCGUAGGCGGCUAAUUGAGUCGGAUGUGAAAUCCCCGAGCUUAACUUGGGAAUUGCAUUCGAUACUGGUUAGCUAGAGUGUGGGAGAGGAUGGUAGAAUUCCAGGUGUAGCGGUGAAAUUCGUAGAGAUCUGGAGGAAUACCGAUGGCGAAGGCAGCCAUCUGGCCUAACACUGACGCUGAGGUACGAAAGCAUGGGGAGCAAACAGGAUUAGAUACCCCCGUAGUCCCUGUCUCUUAUAC
RNAcentral lists this ribosomal RNA (301 nucleotides) under uncultured bacterium. RNAcentral's name for it is "partial 16S ribosomal RNA". It matches the Rfam family "Bacterial small subunit ribosomal RNA", at positions 509 to 807 of the family's 1533-position model. The record is from RNAcentral.